RNAcentral lists this ribosomal RNA (826 nucleotides) under uncultured Chloroflexota bacterium. RNAcentral's name for it is "SSU rRNA". It matches the Rfam family "Bacterial small subunit ribosomal RNA", at positions 50 to 889 of the family's 1533-position model. Lineage: Bacteria; Bacillati; Chloroflexota. The record is from RNAcentral.
AAUGCAUGCAAGUCGAGCGAACCUGUGACUUCGGUCACACAUAGGUUAGCGGCGGACGGCUGAGUAACACGUGAGUAACUUGCCUUUUGGUGGGGUAUAGCCCAGAGAAAUCUGGAUUAAUCCCGCAUAAGAUCUUAGAACCCUGGUUCUUUGAUGAAAGCCUUCGGGCGCCGAAAGAGAGGCUCGCGGACUAUCAGGUAGUUGGUGGGGUAAUGGCCUACCAAGCCUAAGACGGUUAGCUGGUCUGAGAGGAUGAUCAGCCAGAGGGGGACUGAGACACGGCCCCCACUCCUACGGGAGGCAGCAGCAGGGAAUCUUGGGCAAUGGACGAAAGUCUGACCCAGCGACAUCGCGUGGGGGAUGAAGGCCUUAGGGUUGUAAACCCCUUUUAUAAGAGAAGAGUAAGGACGGUACCUUAUGAAUAAGCCCCGGCUAACUACGUGCCAGCAGCCGCGGUAAUACGUAGGGGGCGAGCGUUACCCGGAAUCACUGGGCGUAAAGAGAGCGUAGGCGGUUUGGAAAGUCAUUUGUGAAAGCUCCUGGCUCAACUAGGAGAGGUCAAGUGAAACUUCCUGACUUGAGGACGGUAGAGGUAAGCGGAAUUCUUGGUGUAGCGGUGAAAUGCGUAGAUAUCAAGAAGAACACCAGAGGCGAAGGCGGCUUACUGGGCCGUUUCUGACGCUGAGGCUCGAGAGCGUGGGUAGCAAACAGGAUUAGAUACCCUGGUAGUCCACGCCGUAAACGAUGGAUACUAGGUAUGGAGGGUAUCGACCCCUUCCGUGCCGAAGCUAACGCGAUAAGUAUCCCGCCUGGGGAGUACGGCCGC